RNAcentral lists this ribosomal RNA (448 nucleotides) under uncultured bacterium. RNAcentral describes it as "bacterial SSU rRNA". It matches the Rfam family "Bacterial small subunit ribosomal RNA", at positions 330 to 792 of the family's 1533-position model. The record is from RNAcentral.
ACCAGACUCCUACGGGAGGCAGCAGUGGGGAAUAUUGGGCAAUGGGCGCAAGCCUGACCCAGCAACGCCGCGUGAAGGAAGAGGGCCCUCGGGUUGUAAACUUCUUUUAUCAAGGACGAAGCAAAUGACGGUACUUGAUGAAUAAGCCACGGCUAACUACGUGCCAGCAGCCGCGGUAAUACGUAGGUGGCAAGCGUUGUCCGGAUUUACUGGGUGUAAAGGGCGUGUAGCCGGGCUGACAAGUCAGAUGUGAAAUCCGGGGGCUCAACCCCUGAACUGCAUUUGAAACUGUUGGUCUUGAGUAUCGGAGAGGCAGGCGGAAUUCCUAGUGUAGCGGUGAAAUGCGUAGAUAUUAGGAGGAACACCAGUGGCGAAGGCGGCCUGCUGGACGACAACUGACGUUGAGGCCCGAAAGCGUGGGGAGCAAACAGGAUUAGAUACCCCGGUA